GGCGCCGCCGCGGUAACACCGGCGGCCCGAGUGGUGAUCGUGAUUAUUGGGUCUAAAGGGUCCGUAGCCGGUUUGGUCAGUCCUCCGGGAAAUCUGAUAGCUCAACUAUUAGGCUUUCGGGGGAUACUGCCAGACUUGGAACCGGGAGAGGUAAGAGGUACUACAGGGGUAGGAGUGAAAUCUUGUAAUCCCUGUGGGACCACCUGUGGCGAAGGCGUCUUACCAGAACGGGUUCGACGGUGAGGGACGAAAGCUGGGGGCACGAACCGGAUUAGAUACCCGGGUAGUCCCAGCCGUAAACGAUGCUCGCUAGGUGUCAGGCAUGGCGCGACCGUGUCUGGUGCCGCAGGGAAGCCGUGAAGCGAGCCACCUGGGAAGUACGGCCGCAAGGCUGAAACUUAAAGGAAUUGGCGGGGGAGCACAACAACGGGGUGGAGCCUGCGGUUUAAUUGGACUCAACGCCGGACAACUCACCGGGGGCGACAGCAAUAUGUAGGCCAAGCUGAAGACUUUGCCUGAAUCGCUGAGGGGAGGUGCAUGG
Molecule: ribosomal RNA, 541 nt
Filed under: uncultured archaeon
Lineage: Archaea
Description: bacterial SSU rRNA
Rfam family: Archaeal small subunit ribosomal RNA
Source: RNAcentral